Molecule: ribosomal RNA, 846 nt
Filed under: Bacillus sp. (in: firmicutes)
Lineage: Bacteria; Bacillati; Bacillota; Bacilli; Caryophanales; Bacillaceae
Description: bacterial SSU rRNA
Rfam family: Bacterial small subunit ribosomal RNA
Source: RNAcentral
AGCAACGUCGGGGUAACCUGCGCUGUAACGACUGGGAUAACUCCGCGUGAAACCGGAGCUAAUACCGGAUAGUUCCUUGAACCGCAUGGUUCAAGGAUAGAAAGACUGGUUUCUGCGCUGUGCUACUUACAGAUGGACCCGCGGCGCAUUAGCUAGUUGGUGAGGUAACGGCUCACCAAGGCGACGAUGCGUAGCCGACCUGAGAGGGUGAUCGGCCACACUGGGACUGAGACACGGCCCAGACUCCUACGGGAGGCAGCAGUAGGGAAUCUUCCGCAAUGGACGAAAGUCUGACGGAGCAACGCCGCGUGAGUGAUGAAGGUUUUCGGAUCGUAAAGCUCUGUUGUUAGGGAAGAACAAGUGCAAGAGUAACUGCUUGCACCUUGACGGUACCUAACCAGAAAGCCACGGCUAACUACGUGCCAGCAGCCGCGGUAAUACGUAGGUGGCAAGCGUUGUCCGGAAUUAUUGGGCGUAAAGGGCUCGCAGGCGGUUUCUUAAGUCUGAUGUGAAAGCCCCCGGCUCAACCGGGGAGGGUCAUUGGAAACUGGGAAACUUGAGUGCAGAAGAGGAGAGUGGAAUUCCACGUGUAGCGGUGAAAUGCGUAGAGAUGUGGAGGAACACCAGUGGCGAAGGCGACUCUCUGGUCUGUAACUGACGCUGAGGAGCGAAAGCGUGGGGAGCGAACAGGAUUAUAUACCCUGGUAGUCCACGCCGUAAACGAUGAGUGCUAAGUGUUAGGGGGGUUUCCGCCCCUUAGUGCUGCAGCUAACGCAUUAAGCACUCCGCCUGGGGGAGUACGGUCGCAAGGACUGAAAACUCAAAGGAAUUGACGGGGGCCCCGCA